CACAACUACUUCUUGUGUGCUAAUUGAUCACUGACUAUUCUCACAACAAUCCAUGGAGUGAGAUCUAUUACUGUUCCCAUUUUCACAGGUACUGAGCCUUAUCACAGGCACUGAGGAUAUAACACUUAAGACAGAUAAGAUGCACAGUUAUAUGGAGCCUACCUUCCAGUCAGAGGAGACAGAAUCUGUGCCUCAGAGGUACUCAAAAGACAAAAUAACACCAUCUGACACCUUGAAUUACUGAGUAAACUUUUGUACCACUGAAAACUCACAUCAGGUGCUUGGACAGAAUUGUAGGGGGAGGACAGCCCUUGUCAUCUGGUAAGUUAUACAAGUAUGUAAGCUGCUCACAGUGAAGAUAUAAUAGCUUUCAGGAGUAGAGAAUAGGUAGAAAGUACAAAAAUUAAAAAAAGCAACA
This is a long non-coding RNA of Leopardus geoffroyi (Geoffroy's cat), 418 nucleotides long. RefSeq lists it as uncharacterized. Lineage: Eukaryota; Metazoa; Chordata; Mammalia; Carnivora; Felidae. The transcript has 3 exons. The record is from RefSeq and is a predicted model, not a curated record.